GAUGAAGAACGUAGCGAAAUGCGAUAAGUAAUGUGAAUUGCAGAAUUCAGUGAAUCAUCGAAUCUUUGAACGCACAUUGCGCCCCCCAGUAUUCUGGCGGGCAUGCCUGUUCGAGCGUCAUUUCAACCAUCAAGCCCUGCUUGUGUUGGGGUCCUGCGGCUGCCCGCAGGCCCUGAAAACCAGUGGCGGGCUCGCUAGUCACACCGAGCGCAGUGGCACAUCUCGCUCAGGGCGUGCGGCGGGCUCCAGCCGUUAAAGCACCCACCUUUCGCAAGGUUGACCUCGGAUCAGGUAGGAAUACCCGCUGAACUUAAGCAUAUCAAUAAGCGGAGGA
Molecule: unclassified non-coding RNA, 334 nt
Filed under: soil metagenome
Description: partial contains 5.8S ribosomal RNA, internal transcribed spacer 2, and large subunit ribosomal RNA
Rfam family: 5.8S ribosomal RNA (bases 1-120)
Source: RNAcentral